This 219-nucleotide unclassified non-coding RNA is filed under the name soil metagenome. RNAcentral's name for it is "partial contains 5.8S ribosomal RNA, internal transcribed spacer 2, and large subunit ribosomal RNA". The record is from RNAcentral.
AACGAGGCCGACCUGCGGCUGAGUUACCUGCGGAGGGAUCAUUACAAGAAUCGGUGCUGACGCGCUCUCUCGGGCGCCGUCAGCCCGCUCUUUACCUUGCCUACUGCACUGUUUGUUGCUUCCUGGCGGCGGGACGCUGCCGCCAGGUACCUAAAAAAUCCCGUAUAAGCAUUGAGAAACUGAUACACCCAAAAUCGUACAACUUUCAACAACGGAUCU